UGACCUCAAAUCAGGUAGGACUACCCGCUGAACUUAAGCAUAUCAAUAAGCGGAGGAAAAGAAACUAACAAGGAUUCCCCUAGUAACUGCGAGUGAAGCGGGAAAAGCUCAAAUUUAAAAUCUGGCGGUCUUUGGCCGUCCGAGUUGUAAUCUAGAGAAGUGUUAUCCGCGCUGGACCGUGUACAAGUCUCCUGGAAUGGAGCGUCAUAGAGGGUGAGAAUCCCGUCUUUGACACGGACUGCCAGGGCUUUGUGAUGCGCUCUCAAAGAGUCGAGUUGUUUGGGAAUGCAGCUCAAAAUGGGUGGUAAAUUCCAUCUAAAGCUAAAUAUUGGCGAGAGACCGAUAGCGAACAAGUACCGUGAGGGAAAGAUGAAAAGAACUUUGGAAAGAGAGUUAAACAGUACGUGAAAUUGCUGAAAGGGAAACGCUUGAAGUCAGUCGCAUUGUGUGGGAAUCAACCUUGCUUUUGCUGGGCGUACUUUCCAUAUGAUGGGUCAGCAUCAAUUUUGACCGUUGGAUAAAGUUCAAGGGAAUGUGGCAUCUUCGGAUGUGUUAUAGCCUUUGGUCGCAUACAACGAUUGGGAUUGAGGAACUCAGCACGCCGAAAGGCCGGGUCUUGUACCACGUUCGUGCUUAGGAUGCUGGCAUAAUG
This 652-nucleotide ribosomal RNA is filed under the name Hypholoma capnoides. Its description in RNAcentral is "eukaryotic LSU rRNA". It matches the Rfam family "Eukaryotic large subunit ribosomal RNA", at positions 1 to 636 of the family's 3401-position model. The record is from RNAcentral. Lineage: Eukaryota; Fungi; Basidiomycota; Agaricomycetes; Agaricales; Strophariaceae.